AUGAACGCUGGCGGCGUGCCUAAUACAUGCAAGUCGAGCGAACAGAUGAGGAGCUUGCUCCUCUGACGUUAGCGGCGGACGGGUGAGUAGCACGUGGAUAACCUACCUAUAAGACUGGGAUAACUUCGGGAAACCGGAGCUAAUACCGGAUAAUAUAUUGAACCGCAUGGUUCAAUAGUGAAAGACGGUUUUGCUGUCACUUAUAGAUGGAUCCGCGCCGCAUUAGCUAGUUGGUAAGGUAACGGCUUACCAAGGCAACGAUGCGUAGCCGACCUGAGAGGGUGAUCGGCCACACUGGAACUGAGACACGGUCCAGACUCCUACGGGAGGCAGCAGUAGGGAAUCUUCCGCAAUGGGCGAAAGCCUGACGGAGCAACGCCGCGUGAGUGAUGAAGGUCUUCGGAUCGUAAAACUCUGUUAUUAGGGAAGAACAAAUGUGUAAGUAACUAUGCACGUCUUGACGGUACCUAAUCAGAAAGCCACGGCUAACUACGUG
This 496-nucleotide ribosomal RNA is filed under the name uncultured bacterium. Its description in RNAcentral is "partial 16S ribosomal RNA". It matches the Rfam family "Bacterial small subunit ribosomal RNA", at positions 29 to 507 of the family's 1533-position model. The record is from RNAcentral.